UGUUUUGUUCAUGAUUCCUCUUUUUCUUUCCAUUAAAAUAAGACUAUCAAAUAAAAAGACAAAUGACUAAUCCACCAUAAUACAACAUUCAAAAUUGCAGUACAAUUGAAUCUCAACAACAACUAACCAUAGCACCAACAGUUUUAACCACUAGCUGCAAAUCCUUUUCCACUAUCCAAAAUUUCAAUUACACAACAAAAAGAACACAGAAGAAAAACGAUAGGAAACAUCAGAUUCACAUGCAUAGUGUCACUGGCCACUAUCCUCUUCUCGAUGCUAUGAAUCAGACGGUGCAGCCAUAGAAUACGAAGAAGAAGCAAAGCAUUGAAACAAGAGCCACAGAUUCCAACGCCGUCACGAUUCCCCAUAAAAACUCAUCAACGAUAGAAUUAGAGAUGCUCGUCAGCUCCGACCACCGCGUCACCGGCAUCUUCGAUCUUGCCCAACAGAAUAACGACACCAUCGAUGACAACGCUGUUUCCGAUCAAAAUCGCUUUUGCUUUCGUUUCUAUUGUGAUUGUUUGAUAAUGGUGAUGGGACUCACUAUUUAUUUGAAGAUUUUUAUUUUAUUUUUUCCUUCUAUCUACUAUCUACCCAAUAUUAUAAAAUUGACCAAACUCCCAAUUUUAACCUUCUGCAAAAUAAAUUUUACCCUUGCAAAAGGUUAGUGAAGUAAUUAACAAAUUGAAUAUUUGCACUUGCCAUGUGUUGUCUAUUCAUUCGUCUACUUUUACAAUUGUGUACUUGCUUUAACAUUUUCCUCCUCACCUUUCCUCUCUCUUCACGAUUCAAAUUAUCAUUCUCUCUUCUCUCUUCUCAAACCCUAAAAGUGACUGAACAAGCAAAACCUAGAACACGCCUCCCCGCCGUCCAAACAGUUGAAGCACGGGAGAUGAAUCAGUUUUAUCCACCAAAGCGGAAAAUCUUCAAAUCUUCGUUCUCUUCGAUCUCAGUUUUUCGUAAAUCACCCUGCAUGUAAAUCCAGUGGUGGUAGAGCUGAUGAAGAGAAGGUUUUGAAAGUUUUGUGGGAGAAGGACGGUGAAGAUUAUUCUCUAUCCUUUUUGUUCAAUUGUAGUAUCUGCUGGGCUUCUCAGGAUUUUUGGCCGCAAUAUUGCAGAGCUUCCCAUGGUAGCUACAAGCAGAGAGUAUCAAGGAAAAGGUUAUUUUCAACUGCUAUUUUCUUGCAUAUAGAGGUUGUUGUCUUCUCUAAAUGUAGAAAAGCUGGUUCUCCCUGCUGCAGCGGAUGCAGAGUCAAUUUAGACUAAGAAAUUUUGCUUUCACAAGAUGAGUGAAGAUCAGGAACUUAGGACUAUAACCCUCACUACAAUCACCAGUAUCGACAUGCCUGAGAUUGCAGUACACAAAUUCAAAUUCAAGCCCUUUGCAGAAUUCUUAUAUUAUUGGUGUCCUGCAACAAGUCGUUAGGACCCAAGUUAUAGGUGUUGGGAAAAAACUGUGCGUCAACCUAAUUUUGGCCAAUGAAUGGUAUGUCACGUUACAAUUUCACACCUGACAGCACUAUACACUUCAUUGCUUCAUACUGUUUUGUUGUAUUUUUUGUUUUGUUAGUGGAGCUGAGAUUGAUCUCACCCUUUGGGAGAUGUAUGCAGAAAAGACUUAUAGCUUUUACUAAAGAAAACGGUCUACCGGUUGUCAUACUAACUCAUGCUUGGUAUCGCCAAAGUUCAACCACAUGGAAGCUUAAUCUUUCAAAUGCUUGGAACGGUUCCAAACUACUACUCAAGUAGUUGAUUUCAAGGCUAGGUCUUUUCAGAUUUGAUGCCGAGAACCCAAAUCCCGGCGCUUCACAAUCACUGUUCCUACAUUCUGGUUCUCAAGCUACUUUUAAAGAACACCGCUAAAACACUGAACUCUGAUGAAGCAACAGACCUUAAGCUACCAUUGAAAGAAAGGUUCUUUCUUCAACCAUUGCCACCUACAGAAGCAGCAACAAAAAGUGCAUUUGAAGUGCAACAUUGCAUUCAUUUGAAGUGUGAUGGUCUAGAAAAAUCAAUUUAAUACUUUUGCUGGAAACUGUUCUGCCGGGGGGGUCUUGUAGUACUUAAGGUUUCGGAUAACAUUCUAUCUGUUAUGCUAUUUUUUUCUUCAUUUUCAAUUUAAAGCAUCAAGUGUUUCUUUCAUUCUAGGGUGUAUAAUUUAAUUGACCUAAAGUUUUAUUAGUUUUAUUAUUUAAUGCAAUGAAAUACUUUUUAUCUCACGUGAGUAUUUUUAUUCACAUGUGAAUAUUUUUUAUUCACUAAGAUGGACUAAUGUAAUAGUAUAGUGGAAUUUGCAUUUCCAUCAUGUGUUAUUUCCAACAAGCUACCAUUCUUUCUGUUGUGUUAUUUCAAAACCUCAUUUGCAUAUGAUCCUUCCAAUAAUGCUGCCACAACAUACAUAUACACAGUCCAAGACUUAAUCACUCACCUUUAAAUUGUAAGUAGCAAUAUUUCAAAUUUUAAGGAUACAACAAGGAUCUAUGUGUUUUAACAUUUAAUUUAAUAAAAUGUUCAAUCUCACAAGUUAGUAUCACCAUAAUAAAAUAUAUCUUACAAAAUAAAGUGUCAUAAACAUAGAGUUUAUAUUUCA
Long non-coding RNA from Vicia villosa (hairy vetch), 2589 nucleotides. RefSeq lists it as uncharacterized. The transcript is spliced from 9 exons. The record is from RefSeq and is a predicted model, not a curated record. NCBI's taxonomy places the organism in Eukaryota, Viridiplantae, Streptophyta, Magnoliopsida, Fabales, Fabaceae.